RNAcentral lists this ribosomal RNA (253 nucleotides) under uncultured bacterium. RNAcentral's name for it is "partial 16S ribosomal RNA". It matches the Rfam family "Bacterial small subunit ribosomal RNA", at positions 524 to 776 of the family's 1533-position model. The record is from RNAcentral.
UACGGGGGGGGCAAGCGUUGUUCGGAAUUACUGGGCGUAAAGGGCUCGUAGGUGGCCAACUAAGUCAUACGUGAAAUCCCUCGGCUUAACCGGGGAACUGCGCCUGAUACUGGUUGGCUUGAGUUUGGGAGAGGGACGCGGAAUUCCAGGUGUAGCGGUGAAAUGCGUAGAUAUCGGGAGGAAUACCUAUGGCGAAAGCAGGCUACUGGACCGUCACUGACUCUGAUCUGCGAAAGCUAGGGGAGCAAACAGG